GACGAACGCUGGCGGCGUGCUUAACACAUGCAAGUCGAACGGAAAGGCCCUGCUUGCAGGGUACUCUAGUGGCGAACGGGUGAGUAACACGUGUGUGUUCUGCCCUCUACUUCUUGAUAUGCCUUGGAAACUGUGUCUAAUACCGGAUAUGAGCCCUUCUUCUUGUUAUGGUUGGAUAGUUUUUUGGGUGUAGGAUGAGCUCGCGGGCUAUCAGUUUGUUGGUGGGGUAAUGGCCUACCAAGGCGGCGACGGGUAGCCGGCCUGCGAGGGUGGACGGCCACAAUGGGAAUGGGAUACGGCCCAGACUCCUACGGGAGGCAGGAGUGGGGAAUAAUGCACAAUGGGGGGAAGCCUGAUGCAGCGAAGCCGGGUGGGGGGUGAAGGCCUUCGGGUUGUAAACUCCUUUCGGUAGGGACGAAGCUGUUUGUGACGGUAACUAGAUAAGAAGCACCGGCUAACUACGUG
This 465-nucleotide ribosomal RNA is filed under the name uncultured bacterium. Its description in RNAcentral is "partial 16S ribosomal RNA". It matches the Rfam family "Bacterial small subunit ribosomal RNA", at positions 28 to 507 of the family's 1533-position model. The record is from RNAcentral.